This 891-nucleotide ribosomal RNA is filed under the name uncultured fungus. RNAcentral describes it as "eukaryotic LSU rRNA". The stretch from base 613 to 891 matches the Rfam family "Eukaryotic large subunit ribosomal RNA", at positions 1 to 272 of the family's 3401-position model. Lineage: Eukaryota; Fungi. The record is from RNAcentral.
CAUUAAUGAAUUUUGAUUGGGGGUUGAUGCUGGCAGUCACUUCUUUUGGCUGCAUGUGCUUGCCCCUAAUAAUCUUUAUCCAAACACCUGUGCAUGAAUUUCGAGGGUUUCCGGGUUGGUUUUUGCUGUCUUCUCGGAUUCCCUUGUAUUUCCCACUUUUAUACACACUGCUUGCAAUGUCGAAUGUGUUUGUGCCGCAAGGCCAUUAACAAAAUAUACAACUUUUAACAACGGAUCUCUUGGCUCUCGCAUCGAUGAAGAACGCAGCGAAAUGCGAUAAGUAAUGUGAAUUGCAGAAUUCAGUGAAUCAUCGAAUCUUUGAACGCACCUUGCGCUCCCUGGUAUUCCGGGGAGCACGCCUGUUCGAGUGUCGUGAAAUUUCUCAAGCUGAGAUGUUUUUCUUAGUCUUGGUGUUGGGCUCUGCCGUGUCUUUUAUUGGGAUGGCUGGCCUUAAAAGCAUUAGCUGACCCUUAUGUGGGCAAUUGGUUCUACUCAGCGUGAUUAAUGAUUUUGACCGCUGAGGACAUCUUUGGGGAUGGCCAGUUCUCAUUUGGGUUGCUUCUAAUCUUGGUUGUACGGAUUGUUAAUCUGUGCGGCCUCGUUUUUCAGCUUUGACCUCGAAUCAGGUGGGACUACCCGCUGAACUUAAGCAUAUCAAUAAGCGGAGGAAAAGAAACUAACAAGGAUUCCCCUAGUAACGGCGAGUGAAGCGGGAAAAGCUCAAAUUUAAAAUCUGGCAAUCUUUGGUUGUCCGAAUUGUAAUCUAGAGAAGCGUUUUCCGUGCUGGACUGUGUGCAAGUUUCCUGGAUACGGAACAUCAUAGAGGGUGAGAAUCCCGUCCUUCACACAGACUACCAGUGCUUUGUGAUGCGCUCUCGACGAGUCGAGUUG